AACGCUGGCGGCGUGCUUAAUACAUGCAAGUCGAACGAGAAAGCAUUCUUCGGAAUGUUAGUAGAGUGGCGAACGGGUGAGUAACACGUAGGAAAUCUGCCUUUAAGUUCGGGAUAACGUUGGGAAACUGACGCUAAUACCGGAUAAUUCUGAAUAUCGCAUGAUAUUUAGAUAAAAGAAAGCCUCUGCAUGCAAGCUUUGCUUAGAGAUGAUCCUGCGGACCAUUAGUUAGUUGGUGAGGUAAGGGCUCACCAAGACGAUGAUGGAUAGCCAGCCUGAGAGGGCGGAUGGCCACAUUGGGACUGAGACACGGCCCAAACUCCUACGGGAGGCUGCAGUAGGGAAUAUUGUGCAAUGGGGGAAACCCUGACACAGCGACGCCGCGUGAACGAUGAAGGUCGUAAGAUCGUAAAGUUCUGUCAAGAGGGAAGAAAGGUUAUAAAGUUAAUAGCUAUGUAACUAUGACGGUACCUCUGGAGGAAGCACCGGCUAAAUACGUGCCAGCAGCCGCGGUAAUACGUAUGGUGCAAGCGUUGUCCGGAAUCAUUGGGCGUAAAGGGCACGUAGGCGGUUUAUUAAGUCAGAGGUGAAAUCACCAUGCUCAACGUGGUGGCUGCCUUUGAAACUGAUAGACUAGAGUUCGGGAGGGGAAAGCGGAAUUCCUGGUGUAGUGGUGAAAUGCGUAGAUAUCAGGAAGAACACCAAUGGCGAAGGCAGCUUUCUAGACCGACACUGACGCUAAUGUGCGAAAGCGUGGGAGCGAACGGGAUUAGAUACCCCGGUAGUCCACGCUGUAAACGUUGGGUAUUAGGCGUAGGAGGUAUCGACCCCUUCUGUGCCGCAGUUAACGCAUUAAAUACCUCGCCUGGGGACUACGGCCGCAAGGCUAAAACUCAAAGGAAUUGACGGGGGCCCGCACAAGCGGUGGAGCAUGUGGUUUAAUUCGAUGCAACGCGAAGAACCUUACCUAGGUUUGACAUCCUCUGACAGACUAUGAAAGUAGUUUUUUCUUCGGAACAGAGAGACAGGUGCUGUAUGGCUGUCGUCAGCUCGUGUCGUGAGAUGUUGGGUUAAGUCCCGCAACGAGCGCAACCCUUGUUGUUAGUUACCAGCACGUAAUGGUGGGCACUCUAGCAAGACUGCCGGUGAUAAACCGGAGGAAGGUGGGGAUGACGUCAAGUCCUCAUGGCCUUUAUACCUAGGGCUACACACGUGCUACAAUGGGGAGUACAGAGGGAAGCAAAGUCGCAAGGCCAAGCAAAUCUCAAAAAACUCUUCUCAGUUCGGAUUGUGGGCUGAAAUUCGCCCACAUGAAGUUGGAAUCGCUAGUAAUCGCGAGUCAGCAUAUCGCGGUGAAUACGUUCUCGGGCCUUGUACACACCGCCCGUCACACCAUGGAAGUUUGUCAUGCCCGAAGUUGGUGACCUAACCUUUUUUAAGGGAGGAACUACCUAAGGCAGGGCCGAUGACUGGGGUG
Molecule: ribosomal RNA, 1477 nt
Filed under: uncultured Desulfobacteraceae bacterium
Lineage: Bacteria; Pseudomonadati; Thermodesulfobacteriota; Desulfobacteria; Desulfobacterales; Desulfobacteraceae
Description: bacterial SSU rRNA
Rfam family: Bacterial small subunit ribosomal RNA
Source: RNAcentral